AUACGGAGGGGGCUAGCGUUGUUCGGAAUUACUGGGCGUAAAGCGCGCGUAGGCGGAUCGUUAAGUCAGGGGUGAAAGCCCGGAGCUCAACUCCGGAACUGCCCUUGAUACUGGCGAUCUCGAGUCCGGGAGAGGUGAGCGGAAUUCCUAGUGUAGAGGUGAAAUUCGUAGAUAUUAGGAGGAACACCAGUGGCGAAGGCGGCUCACUGGCCCGGUACUGACGCUGAGGUGCGAAAGCGUGGGUAGCAAACAGGAUUAGAAACCCUAGUAGUCC
RNAcentral lists this ribosomal RNA (274 nucleotides) under uncultured bacterium. RNAcentral describes it as "partial 16S ribosomal RNA". It matches the Rfam family "Bacterial small subunit ribosomal RNA", at positions 523 to 796 of the family's 1533-position model. The record is from RNAcentral.